Molecule: ribosomal RNA, 253 nt
Filed under: uncultured bacterium
Lineage: Bacteria
Description: partial 16S ribosomal RNA
Rfam family: Bacterial small subunit ribosomal RNA
Source: RNAcentral
UACGGAGGGUGCAAGCAUUAAUCGGAUUUAUUGGGCGUAAAGGGCGCGUAGGCUGGAGUAUAAGUCAGAUGUGAAAUCCCGGGGCUCAACCUCGGAACAGCAUUUGAAACUAUAUUUCUUGAGGGUAGGCGGAGAAAACGGAAUUCCACAAGUAGCGGUGAAAUGCGUAGAUAUGUGGAAGAACACCGGUGGCGAAAGCGGUUUUCUAGCUUAUACCUGACGCUGAUGCGCGAAAGCAAGGGGAUCAAACAGG